CACAGGCCAGUGGCGUCCCUUUGGAGAAGUACUACGUCCAGUCAAAUGGAACAUUAAAAAAGCUUUUUUUUAAUGUUUAUUUAUUUUUGAGAAAGAGCGCGUGCGCUAGAGAGACAGAAUGCGAGUGGGAGAGGGGCAGAGAGAGAGGGAGACACAGAACCCGAAGCAGGCUCCAGGCUCUGAGCGGUCGGCCCAGAGCCCAACACGGGGCUCGAAGCCACGAACCAUGAGAUCAUGACCCGAGCCGACCCAGGCGCCCCUGGAACAUGUGAUAGAAAUGGCUGCACAGCCAGACCCCUAGUGACCUCUUCUUCCUUCUCUCUUCCUUCUCUUCUCUGGAAGAUAUGAGGUUGCUAACCUGGUUGCAGAGUGCCCUGAGCUGAGGGGAGGUGGGGGUGGCAAGUGAGAAGUAGAAACACCGGCUGGCUCCCCGCUGCACGGGGCUGGGGGAUGUGGGCUUCCGGGAAUCCUGUCCUUUUACACGGGCUCAGGGCCUCGGGGGCCUCCCAGUGGAAGAUCAGAGGCCCACGGGAGCCCCACGAGCCCCCACACCCAGCUCAGCGAUGAGGAAGGGCAGCGACCCAGAUGCUGCCUAUUCCAGCGUGGGCUUUAGAGUGUACCCCCUCCCCAUCUCGGUUCCUUCCCUCUUCUGGUGUGUGGGGGGGGGUUCCUUGUGCAUACUUGCACCUCUGCAUAAGUUUACAUUCCAAAGGAGGGUCAGGGCCUCAGAGGACAGGAGCCACGUGAACACACGGGAAGAAGAGGGAACCACAGACACUGAACUAACAACGCUCAGAAGCCAAGGGCAUUAUCUGAUAAUCCAAGUACUAUCACUUUUCAGUCCUGAGAAUGUGGUUUUGAAAUAGCUAUUGCUAAAGAAAACAGUCGCCAUUUAUUUUAUUGCACUUUUCCUCGUUAAAAAUAUUUUAAAACACAAACCAUGAGAGAUGGAACUGAGCUUUGGUGGGAAGGGAAGCAGAAAGAAAGGAAAAGUGAACGGGAUUAGUUUGAAGAAGAAACCCAUCCCAGCUUGUAGAGGACCCUUCACAUCCUGCUUGCUGCUUUGAUGAGGACAAAGAGCUGGUCUCAACAAGGGAAGACUCUGAAGAUACAGAUGAUGGUCACACUAGCCAUGUGGACACCUCCCAGCAUCCAGCGCUCUGUUUGGUUAGCUCAGGUGGCUAAUGACGUUCGGGGUUAAGGUCAUGAGUUCAAGCCUGGCGGUGGACACUUUGCCGAGGCUGGGGAACCCCCACUGUAUAGCCAAGGAGCACCCCCGGCAUUACAGCCUACGUGGACCAGCCUCUCAGACCAGGCAGCCACCACCCAGAUGGAGGCUGUUAUGAUAAUGGGACCCAGAAGAGCCAGAGCUUGGGCAGAGCUCACCAUCCCAACUCCUGGGUAAGCCAUUCAAAGCACCAUGCUCCUCCUGUCUGCCACGGGGGCUAUGCGAUUUGCAAACUGUCCUCUAGUCUCCUUUGGGGAAAGUCAGCCUCCCCUCUUUUCGCCACUACUGUGGGCUGCACUAAAGCCCCAGCUGGAGACUUCUUCGGAGAGCACUGCCCUCUCUCAGCGUGAGUUCGCACUGAUAUUUUACGGCUAACUAUGACGAAGUAAGUCGGCCAAAGUCCUCACUACAAUGGAAUGAGAGAUCCAGGGACAGCAGAUAUGACAAGCCAGUCCUGCAACCCUCCUCACAUGAAGAAGCUGCACGAGCGCUCAGGCUGGGGUUCAGGCCAACAAAGCUUUCACGGAGCCCUUUCCACAUCAAGCCAAUGGAGUCUAGAGCCACACUCCCUGGGGGCCCCUUCCAAAAAGUUAACCUCCUGUUGACAUGCGUCUAUCCUCAGAAGUCCAGCUCAGACA
RNAcentral lists this long non-coding RNA (1866 nucleotides) under Felis catus (domestic cat). RNAcentral describes it as "lncRNA (ENSFCAG00000049779.1)". The record is from RNAcentral. Lineage: Eukaryota; Metazoa; Chordata; Mammalia; Carnivora; Felidae.